AACGCUGGCGGCGUGCCUAACACAUGCAAGUCGACGGAGUGCUUUAAAUGAUUCCUUCGGGAUGAAUUUAUGGUUACUUAGUGGCGGACGGGUGAGUAACGCGUGAGGAACCUGCCUUCAGAGGGGACAACAGUUGGAAACGACUGCUAAUACCGCAUAAUGCAUAGAGAUCGCAUGGUCUAUAUGCCAAAGAUUUAUCGCUGAAAGAUGGCCUCGCGUCUGAUUAGCUAGUUGGUGAGGUAAACGGCCCACCAAGGCGACGAUCAGUAGCCGGACUGAGAGGUUGACCGGCCACAUUGGGACUGAGAUACGGCCCAGACUCCUACGGGAGGCAGCAGUGGGGAAUAUUGGGCAAUGGGCGCAAGCCUGACCCAGCAACGCCGCGUGAAGGAAGAAGGCUUUCGGGUUGUAAACUUCUUUUGUCAGGGAAGAGUAGAAGACUGUACCUGGCGAAUAAGCCACGGCUAACUACGUG
This 475-nucleotide ribosomal RNA is filed under the name uncultured bacterium. RNAcentral describes it as "bacterial SSU rRNA". It matches the Rfam family "Bacterial small subunit ribosomal RNA", at positions 32 to 507 of the family's 1533-position model. The record is from RNAcentral.